Molecule: long non-coding RNA, 1662 nt
Organism: Uranotaenia lowii
Lineage: Eukaryota; Metazoa; Arthropoda; Insecta; Diptera; Culicidae
Exons: 4
Source: RefSeq, a predicted model, not a curated record
ACUUCGGCAUCAUGAGUAACGUGCCGCGGAUUGGAGCUUGAUGCCAUUUCCAAUCCAAAAACAAUCGCCGUGCCCGUCACCUGAGACGAGUGGGGAAUUAUUAUAGCCCACGGCAAGGCUGUGUUGCUCAAAAGGUGGACCGAUAAUCAACGUUUUUCAGUUACGAGCUAACGGCGCUUCCAUCAGCGAUUUCAAGUGGCCAAAAUUAUUCAUCGAAGGUGCAUGUGCAUGUUCCUAGGCGUAUUGAUCAGCCCAAGGACAUUUUGUGAUGGUCACAUUUUCAUUGGAUGCUUCAGAUGAAUGCAUAAGCGUUGGUGAGCGAACACCCAUUUGUUUUUAGACGCUCUCAGAGGUCGGAUACCUUCACUUACCACCAGAUGUCGGUCGGAAAAAUGUAGUUAUCUACCGCCUUUAAUCUGCCGGAGAAAGGAGACUAGCUGUUUCUGAGUAACCAUAAGUUCAACAUCGAGUCGAAGAUUCCAUACCUGCCAGAGUAGUGAGAUUGGCCGCAGUGCAUCGAAUGAAUUUUCUGGAUAUAUCCCAAGAGUUAAACUACGCAACAGGAUUUGGCAGCCGACUUUAUGCUUAAGCUGCAUAAGCGUUCUGAAUGAUACGUCGCAAGCGUCAAUGAUAAAGGCAGAUAACAAUCGUACGGGUGCUGAAAAUCAUCCCGAUAUGGAACUACAACGCUGCACGGGGAAUAGACUACAUCACAUUUGUAAAAAAUGCGAUGAUUCCACGGCGAUUGUUUGAUUCUAUGCUCGCCAAAUUUCGCGCGAACACAAACGAUUGCUGGCGAAUACAGUACCAGCAACAAAAAAAACCAUCUCCACCCCGUCUGGGGCUGAGUAAAUGGCUUGAAGUUUGUACAAACAGCACCAUACACCAUGCCAUAGACAACACAAAUGGCGUGUGCAAAUUCGAUGAUUCCAAGACGAUUGUUUGAUCUAUGCUCGCCCACACACGAUACAAACGUAUUUAGCGCGAACACAAACGAUGGCUGACGAUAACACUAACAACAAAAAACCACCGCCACCCCUACUGGGACUGAGUAAAUUUCCUGAAUAUUGUACAAACAGCACCGUACACUAUGCCACAGAGGGUGGUUUGUGCAAAAUAUUUCGAUCCAGACUGAUUUUACUCAAACCGUUUGCGCGCUCAUUCAAGCAGUGCCAUACCUCUUGCUAGUGAAUUAGUGGUCCAUGGUUCAUAAAAAAUUUAUUUGUUCAAAAAAUUUUUUGAUUGUUAUGACACUAAUCUAAGUUUCAAUUACUCAUACUAUUACAUUCGAUUACCAUUCGAAUUUGGAUUUCUCCAAUUGUCCGCUUAACUUAACAUUAUGAAACGAAUUCAAAUCCAUACGCGGAAUACAAAUUCAAUUUACAUUUUAUAAUUCAUAAUUUGGAUUCAAAAACCAGCAUCUAAAUAGAAUUCAAAUUUAAAUGCAGACUCACAAUUCAGAAUCACAGUUCAAAUUAAAAAAUCAGCAUUCAGUUCAAAAUAAUAUUAAAAUAAUAAUAUCAUAUUCAAAUCUGAUUUUGGAAUUGUAAUUCACAGUUGUAAAUUCAAAUUCUGGUUUAAGAUUCAAAAUGUACAUAUUUCUGAUAAAACUAGCUGACCCGGUAAACUUCGUUCUACCUUCUAAAGUAUAAAUCGUAAUAA